CCCUAAUCUGUUAGAUUUCACUGUUGUUUUGAAGGUCAGAACUUGCAGGUUGCUCCGGCUGUGGAGAAUGCAGCUGCCACCGCACUACCGGCGGUGCUCCACCGUGUCUGCCUGGCGGCGGAGAGGUCAGGCCGCCGUGCCGAUGGCGUGAGAGUGGUGGCGGUAGGCAAGACGAGCCUGUCUCUCUCAUCCGCCAGGUAUACGAUGCUGGACACAACUGUUUCUGCGAAAAAUAUGUUCAAGAGAUUAUCCAAAAGAGUCCUGAGCUCCAUGAGGACGUUGAGUGGCAUUUUGCUGGGCAUUUGCAGAGCAAUAAAGUAAAAUCACUGCUGAGUAUGAUGCUAUGAUCUACUUCAGAUAACCCGAGAAUUAGCACUUAGUAGUGCUUCUAUUUUAAUCCUUUAAAAAUUAUCUUCCAUGAUAAGUGAAGCCGCCCUAGCAAGAAUCGUGUAAUCCACCCUGGAAAUUGUGGUGAUUGUUCCAUUAUGUAUUCUGUGGAUAAUUUGGCAUGAGAGAAAUGUACAGUGUUUUAAGGGAUCUCGACCUGUGUAUAUUGAGAGUCCUUUUGUUCUGGUGUAAAGAGGAGAGUAGCUUUGCUAUUGAAGAACGUAUAUUCCCUAACUUCUAUGCUAACUGGUCUUUUGUAAAGGUUUUGUAAGCACCUACUUGGUGUUUUUGUUUGUUUGUUUGUUUGUUUGUUUGUUUUUGGGUGCAAAUAAUAUUAUUUACUUAUUUAAAAAA
Ipomoea triloba (trilobed morning glory) is the source of this 741-nucleotide long non-coding RNA. RefSeq lists it as uncharacterized. The record is from RefSeq and is a predicted model, not a curated record. Lineage: Eukaryota; Viridiplantae; Streptophyta; Magnoliopsida; Solanales; Convolvulaceae. The transcript is spliced from 2 exons.